This 1249-nucleotide ribosomal RNA is filed under the name Salmonella enterica. RNAcentral describes it as "partial 23S ribosomal RNA". It matches the Rfam family "Bacterial large subunit ribosomal RNA", at positions 911 to 2141 of the family's 2925-position model. The record is from RNAcentral. Lineage: Bacteria; Pseudomonadati; Pseudomonadota; Gammaproteobacteria; Enterobacterales; Enterobacteriaceae. RNAcentral also lists the same sequence under 1 other name.
UGUUUCGGCUAGGGGGCCAUCCCGGCUUACCAACCCGAUGCAAACUGCGAAUACCGGAGAAUGUUAUCACGGGAGACACACGGCGGGUGCUAACGUCCGUCGUGAAGAGGGAAACAACCCAGACCGCCAGCUAAGGUCCCAAAGUCAUGGUUAAGUGGGAAACGAUGUGGGAAGGCCCAGACAGCCAGGAUGUUGGCUUAGAAGCAGCCAUCAUUUAAAGAAAGCGUAAUAGCUCACUGGUCGAGUCGGCCUGCGCGGAAGAUGUAACGGGGCUAAACCAUGCACCGAAGCUGCGGCAGCGACACUGUGUGUUGUUGGGUAGGGGAGCGUUCUGUAAGCCUGUGAAGGUGGCCUGUGAGGGUUGCUGGAGGUAUCAGAAGUGCGAAUGCUGACAUAAGUAACGAUAAAGCGGGUGAAAAGCCCGCUCGCCGGAAGACCAAGGGUUCCUGUCCAACGUUAAUCGGGGCAGGGUGAGUCGACCCCUAAGGCGAGGCCGAAAGGCGUAGUCGAUGGGAAACAGGUUAAUAUUCCUGUACUUGGUGUUACUGCGAAGGGGGGACGGAGAAGGCUAUGUUGGCCGGGCGACGGUUGUCCCGGUUUAAGCGUGUAGGUGUGUGUUCCAGGUAAAUCCGGUUCACUUUAACACUGAGGCGUGAUGACGAGGCACUACGGUGCUGAAGCAACAAAUGCCCUGCUUCCAGGAAAAGCCUCUAAGCAUCAGGUAACAUCAAAUCGUACCCCAAACCGACACAGGUGGUCAGGUAGAGAAUACCAAGGCGCUUGAGAGAACUCGGGUGAAGGAACUAGGCAAAAUGGUGCCGUAACUUCGGGAGAAGGCACGCUGACACGUAGGUGAAGUGAUUUACUCAUGGAGCUGAAGUCAGUCGAAGAUACCAGCUGGCUGCAACUGUUUAUUAAAAACACAGCACUGUGCAAACACGAAAGUGGACGUAUACGGUGUGACGCCUGCCCGGUGCCGGAAGGUUAAUUGAUGGGGUCAGCGCAAGCGAAGCUCCUGAUCGAAGCCCCGGUAAACGGCGGCCGUAACUAUAACGGUCCUAAGGUAGCGAAAUUCCUUGUCGGGUAAGUUCCGACCUGCACGAAUGGCGUAAUGAUGGCCAGGCUGUCUCCACCCGAGACUCAGUGAAAUUGAACUCGCUGUGAAGAUGCAGUGUACCCGCGGCAAGACGGAAAGACCCCGUGAACCUUUACUAUAGCUUGACACUGAACAUUGAGCCUUGAUGUGUAG